UCUCCUGUAGCUCAGUGGUAGAGCGUCCGACCGGUGUGCGGAAAGUCAUAGCUUCUACAUGUACUCUUGUUGGGAGAA
Desmophyllum pertusum is the source of this 78-nucleotide non-coding RNA. The record is from the annotation of a GenBank genome assembly. Lineage: Eukaryota; Metazoa; Cnidaria; Anthozoa; Scleractinia; Caryophylliidae.